GGUUAAGCGACUAAGCGUACACGGUGGAUGCCCUGGCAGUCAGAGGCGAUGAAGGACGUGCUAAUCUGCGAAAAGCGUCGGUAAGGUGAUAUGAACCGUUAUAGCCGGCGAUGUCCGAAUGGGGAAACCCAGUGCAAUUCGUUGCACUAUCGUUAACUGAAUACAUAGGUUAACGAGGCGAACCGGGGGAACUGAAACAUCUAAGUACCCCGAGGAAAAGAAAUCAACCGAGAUUCCCCCAGUAGCGGCGAGCGAACGGGGAGCAGCCCAGAGUCUGAAUCAGCUUGUGUGUUAGUGGAACGGUCUGGAAAGUCCGACGGUACAGGGUGAUAGUCCCGUACACCAAAAUGCACAGGUUGUGAACUCGAAGAGUAGGGCGGGACACGUGGUAUCCUGUCUGAAUAUGGGGGGACCAUCCUCCAAGGCUAAAUACUCCUGACUGACCGAUAGUGAACCAGUACCGUGAGGGAAAGGCGAAAAGAACCCCGGCGAGGGGAGUGAAAAAGAACCUGAAACCGUGUACGUACAAGCAGUGGGAGCACCUUCGGGUGUGACUGCGUACCUUUUGUAUAAUGGGUCAGCGACUUAUAUUCUGUAGCAAGGUUAACCGUAUAGGGGAGCCGCAGGGAAACCGAGUCUUAACUGGGCGUUAAGUUGCAGGGUAUAGACCCGAAACCCGGUGAUCUAGCCAUGGGCAGGUUGAAGGUUGGGUAACACUAACUGGAGGACCGAACCGACUAAUGUUGAAAAAUUAGCGGAUGACUUGUGGCUGGGGGUGAAAGGCCAAUCAAACCGGGAGAUAGCUGGUUCUCCCCGAAAGCUAUUUAGGUAGCGCCUCGUGAACUCAUCUUCGGGGGUAGAGCACUGUUUCGGCUAGGGGGUCAUCCCGACUUACCAACCCGAUGCAAACUACGAAUACCGAAGAAUGUUAUCACGGGAGACACACGGCGGGUGCUAACGUCCGUCGUGAAGAGGGAAACAACCCAGACCGCCAGCUAAGGUCCCAAAGUCAUGGUUAAGUGGGAAACGAUGUGGGAAGGCACAGACAGCCAGGAUGUUGGCUUAGAAGCAGCCAUCAUUUAAAGAAAGCGUAAUAGCUCACUGGUCGAGUCGGCCUGCGCGGAAGAUGUAACGGGGCUAAACCAUGCACCGAAGCUGCGGCAGCGACACUAUGUGUUGUUGGGUAGGGGAGCGUUCUGUAAGCCUGCGAAGGUGACCUGUGAGGGUUGCUGGAGGUAUCAGAAGUGCGAAUGCUGACAUAAGUAACGAUAAAGCGGGUGAAAAGCCCGCUCGCCGGAAGACCAAGGGUUCCUGUCCAACGUUAAUCGGGGCAGGGUGAGUCGACCCCUAAGGCGAGGCCGAAAGGCGUAGUCGAUGGGAAACAGGUUAAUAUUCCUGUACUUGGUGUUACUGCGAAGGGGGGACGGAGAAGGCUAUGUUAGCCGGGCGACGGUUGUCCCGGUUUAAGCAUGUAGGCUGAUUGUCCAGGCAAAUCCGGAUAAUCAAGGCUGAGGUGUGAUGACGAGGCACUACGGUGCUGAAGUAACAAAUGCCCUGCUUCCAGGAAAAGCCUCUAAGCAUCAGGUAACAUCAAAUCGUACCCCAAACCGACACAGGUGGUCAGGUAGAGAAUACCAAGGCGCUUGAGAGAACUCGGGUGAAGGAACUAGGCAAAAUGGUGCCGUAACUUCGGGAGAAGGCACGCUGGUGUGUAGGUGAAGUCCCUGCGGAUGGAGCUGAGACCAGUCGAAGAUACCAGCUGGCUGCAACUGUUUAUUAAAAACACAGCACUGUGCAAACACGAAAGUGGACGUAUACGGUGUGACGCCUGCCCGGUGCCGGAAGGUUAAUUGAUGGGGUUAUCCGUAAGGAGAAGCUCUUGAUCGAAGCCCCGGUAAACGGCGGCCGUAACUAUAACGGUCCUAAGGUAGCGAAAUUCCUUGUCGGGUAAGUUCCGACCUGCACGAAUGGCGUAAUGAUGGCCAGGCUGUCUCCACCCGAGACUCAGUGAAAUUGAACUCGCUGUGAAGAUGCAGUGUACCCGCGGCAAGACGGAAAGACCCCGUGAACCUUUACUAUAGCUUGACACUGAACAUUGAGCCUUGAUGUGUAGGAUAGGUGGGAGGCUUUGAAGCGUGGACGCCAGUCUGCGUGGAGCCAACCUUGAAAUACCACCCUUUAAUGUUUGAUGUUCUAACGUUGGCCCCUUACCGGGGUUGCGGACAGUGUCUGGUGGGUAGUUUGACUGGGGCGGUCUCCUCCCAAAGCGUAACGGAGGAGCACGAAGGUUAGCUAAUCCUGGUCGGACAUCAGGAGGUUAGUGCAAUGGCAUAAGCUAGCUUGACUGCGAGCGUGACGGCGCGAGCAGGUGCGAAAGCAGGUCAUAGUGAUCCGGUGGUUCUGAAUGGAAGGGCCAUCGCUCAACGGAUAAAAGGUACUCCGGGGAUAACAGGCUGAUACCGCCCAAGAGUUCAUAUCGACGGCGGUGUUUGGCACCUCGAUGUCGGCUCAUCACAUCCUGGGGCUGAAGUAGGUCCCAAGGGUAUGGCUGUUCGCCAUUUAAAGUGGUACGCGAGCUGGGUUUAGAACGUCGUGAGACAGUUCGGUCCCUAUCUGCCGUGGGCGCUGGAGAAUUGAGGGGGGCUGCUCCUAGUACGAGAGGACCGGAGUGGACGCAUCACUGGUGUUCGGGUUGUCAUGCCAAUGGCACUGCCCGGUAGCUAAAUGCGGAAGAGAUAAGUGCUGAAAGCAUCUAAGCACGAAACUUGCCCCGAGAUGAGUUCUCCCUGAGACUUUAAGUCUCCUGAAGGAACGUUGAAGACGACGACGUUGAUAGGCCGGGUGUGUAAGCGCAGCGAUGCGUUGAGCUAACCGGUACUAAUGAACCGUGAGGCUUAACCUU
RNAcentral lists this ribosomal RNA (2902 nucleotides) under Klebsiella pneumoniae. Its description in RNAcentral is "23S ribosomal RNA". It matches the Rfam family "Bacterial large subunit ribosomal RNA". Lineage: Bacteria; Pseudomonadati; Pseudomonadota; Gammaproteobacteria; Enterobacterales; Enterobacteriaceae. The record is from RNAcentral.